Non-coding RNA from Solanum tuberosum (potato), 72 nucleotides. The record is from RefSeq and is marked provisional. Lineage: Eukaryota; Viridiplantae; Streptophyta; Magnoliopsida; Solanales; Solanaceae.
GUUCCCUUGACCACUUCAUGAUGGUUUAAUAACUUCAUUUUUUGUGCCCUCCUGAAGUGUUUGGGGGAACUC